UACGGAGGGGGCUAGCGUUGUUCGGAAUUACUGGGCGUAAAGCGCACGUAGGCGGCUUUGUAAGUUAGAGGGGAAAGCCCAGGGCUUAACCCUGGAAUUGCCUUUAAGACUGCAUCGCUAGAAUCGUGGAGAGGUGAGUGGAAUUCCGAGUGUAGAGGUGAAAUUCGUAGAUAUUCGGAAGAACACCAGUGGCGAAGGCGACUCACUGGACACGUAUUGACGCUGAGGUGCGAAAGCGUGGGGAGCAAACAGG
This 253-nucleotide ribosomal RNA is filed under the name uncultured bacterium. RNAcentral describes it as "partial 16S ribosomal RNA". It matches the Rfam family "Bacterial small subunit ribosomal RNA", at positions 524 to 776 of the family's 1533-position model. The record is from RNAcentral.